GCUGGGUGCGGUGGCUCAUGCCUGUAAUUACAGACACUUAAGAGGCUGAGGCAGGAGGAUCACAAGUUCAAACCAUCCUCAGCAACUUAUCAAGGCCUUAAGCAAUUCAGUGAGACCCUGUCUCUA
This 126-nucleotide small RNA is filed under the name Marmota monax (woodchuck). Lineage: Eukaryota; Metazoa; Chordata; Mammalia; Rodentia; Sciuridae. The record is from RNAcentral.